Molecule: ribosomal RNA, 495 nt
Filed under: uncultured bacterium
Lineage: Bacteria
Description: partial 16S ribosomal RNA
Rfam family: Bacterial small subunit ribosomal RNA
Source: RNAcentral
GACGAACGCUGGCGGCGUGCCUAAUACAUGCAAGUAGAACGCUGAAGGAGGAGCUUGCUCUUCUGGAUGAGUUGCGAACGGGUGAGUAACGCGUAGGUAACCUGCCUGGUAGCGGGGGAUAACUAUUGGAAACGAUAGCUAAUACCGCAUAACAGUAGAUGUUGCAUGACAUUUGCUUAAAAGGUGCAAUUGCAUCACUACCAGAUGGACCUGCGUUGUAUUAGCUAGUUGGUGGGGUAACGGCUCACCAAGGCGACGAUACAUAGCCGACCUGAGAGGGUGAUCGGCCACACUGGGACUGAGACACGGCCCAGACGCCUACGGGAGGCAGCAGUAGGGAAUCUUCGGCAAUGGACGGAAGUCUGACCGAGCAACGCCGCGUGAGUGAAGAAGGUUUUCGGAUCGUAAAGCUCUGUUGUAAGAGAAGAACGAGUGUGAGAGUGGAAAGUUCACACUGUGACGGUAUCUGACCAGAAAGGGACGGCUAACUACGUG